UACGUAGGCAGCGAGCGUUGUUCGGAAUUACUGGGCGUAAAGAGUGUGUAGGCGGUGCUCCCAGUCUGUUGUGAAAUCUCCCGGCUUAACUGGGAGGGUGCAGCGGAAACUAGAGUGCUAGAGGGUGGGAGAGGUAAGCGGAAUUCCUGGUGUAGCGGUGAAAUGCGUAGAGAUCCGGAAGAACACCGGUGGCGAAGGCGGCCUGCUGGGCAGUUGCUGACACUGAGGCGCGACAGCGUGGGGAGCAAACAGG
This 253-nucleotide ribosomal RNA is filed under the name uncultured bacterium. RNAcentral's name for it is "partial 16S ribosomal RNA". It matches the Rfam family "Bacterial small subunit ribosomal RNA", at positions 524 to 776 of the family's 1533-position model. The record is from RNAcentral.